UAGUCGAGAGGUCCUGCGCCGAAAAUGUCCGGGGCUAAAACACGACACCGAAGCUGAGGAACAUGAAAAUGUUGGUAGAGGAGCAUUCUUAACGGAACGAAGCUGUACCGUAAGGAGCAGUGGACUGUUAAGAAGAGAGAAUGCCGGAAUGAGUAGCGAGAUGGAGGUGGGAAUCCUCCAGGCCGAAUAUCCAAGGUUUCCAGAGUAAAGCUGAUCUGCUCUGGGUAAGUCGGGGCCUAAGGCGAGGUCGAAAGACGUAGUCGAUGGACAACAGGUUGAGAUUCCUGUACUGCAAUGUAACAGAACUGUGGGGACACAGAGAGAAAGUGGGACCCGGGAGUGGAAAAACCGGGGCAAGCGGGGUACCGGAAUGACAGGCAAAUCCGUCAUUCAACGGGAAGACGUAAUGCGUACCGAAAUAAGAGUAGGGAAGUCCAUGAGCUAGCUGUCAAGAAAAGCCGCUAUUGUUUGCAUUGUACCCGUACCGUAAACCGACACAGGUGGAUGAGGAGAGAAUCCUAAGGCCGACGGAAGAAGUAUUGUUAAGGAACUCGGCAAAAUGACUCCGUAACUUCGGGAUAAGGAGUGCCAGGAAACUGGCCGCAGAGAAUUGGUCCAAGCAACUGUUUAGCAAAAACACAGGUUUAUGCAAAACCGUAAGGUGAAGUAUAUGAGCUGACGCCUGCCCGGUGCUGGAAGGUUAAGGGGAGUGCUUAGCGCUUGCGCGAAGGUGCGAACUUAAGCCCCAGUAAACGGCGGCCGUAACUAUAACGGUCCUAAGGUAGCGAAAUUCCUUGUCGGGUAAGUUCCGACCCGCACGAAAGGCGUAAUGAUUUGGACGCUGUCUCGACAAUACAUCCGGUGAAAUUGAAAUACCAGUGAAGAUGCUGGUUACCUGCGCCAGGACGGAAAGACCCCAUGGAGCUUUACUCUAGCUUGAUACUGGGAUUCGAUAUUGUAUGUACAGGAUAGGUGGGAGGCUGAGAACUCAUGACGCCAGUUGUGAGUGAGCCGCUGUUGGGAUACCACCCUUGCAGUAUUGGAUUUCUAACCUGCCGCCGUAAACCGGCGGGGGGACAAUGUCAGGUGGGGAGUUUGACUGGGGCGGUCGCCUCCGAAAGAGUAUCGGAGGCGCUCAAAGGUUCCCUCAGAAUGGUUGGAAACCAUUCGAAGAGUGCAAAGGCAGAAGGGAGCUUGACUGUGACACCGACGGGUGGAACAGGUACGAAAGUAGGACUUAGUGAUCCGGUGGUAUAAAGUGGGAUUGCCAUCGCUCAACGGAUAAAAGCUACCCUGGGGAUAACAGGCUUAUCACUCCCAAGAGUUCACAUCGACGGAGUGGUUUGGCACCUCGAUGUCGGCUCAUCGCAUCCUGGGGCUGUAGUAGGUCCCAAGGGUUGGGCUGUUCGCCCAUUAAAGCGGUACGCGAGCUGGGUUCAGAACGUCGUGAGACAGUUCGGUCCCUAUCCGGCGUGGGCGUAGGAUAUUUGAGAGGAGCUGUCCUUAGUACGAGAGGACCGGGAUGGACUGACCUCUGGUGUAUCUGUUGUCUUACCAAAGGCAUGGCAGAGUAGCCAAGUCGGGACGGGAUAAACGCUGAAGGCAUCUAAGCGUGAAGCCCCCCUCAAGAUGAGAUAUCCCAUACGCAAGUAAUAAGACCCCUUGAAGACGACAAGGUUGAUAGGUUAGAGGUGGAAGUGCAGUAAUGCAUGCAGCUGACUAAUACUAAUAGGUCGAAAGCUUAACCAA
Molecule: ribosomal RNA, 1749 nt
Filed under: human gut metagenome
Description: bacterial LSU rRNA
Rfam family: Bacterial large subunit ribosomal RNA
Source: RNAcentral